Molecule: ribosomal RNA, 233 nt
Filed under: uncultured bacterium
Lineage: Bacteria
Description: partial 16S ribosomal RNA
Rfam family: Bacterial small subunit ribosomal RNA
Source: RNAcentral
UGAGUAACCUGCCCUUAACUCUGGGAUAAGCCUGGGAAACUGGGUCUAAUACCGGAUAUGACUCCUCAUCGCAUGGUGGGGGGUGGAAAGCUUUAUUGUGGUUUUGGAUGGACUCGCGGCCUAUCAGCUUGUUGGUGAGGUAAUGGCUCACCAAGGCGACGACGGGUAGCCGGCCUGAGAGGGUGACCGGCCACACUGGGACUGAGACACGGCCCAGACUCCUGCGGGAGCAG